CGUGUAGGCGGUCAGGUAAGUGGAAUGUGAAAUGCCCCGGCUCACCCGGGGGACCGGCAUCCCAAACUGCCUGGCUUGAGUAUGGGAGAGGAUGGAGGAAUUCCUGGUGUAGCGGUGAAAUGCGUAGAUAUCAGGAGGAACACCGGUGGCGAAGGCGUCCAUCUGGCCCAAUACUGACGCUGAGGCGCGAAAGCUAGGGGAGCAAACG
RNAcentral lists this ribosomal RNA (208 nucleotides) under uncultured Latescibacterota bacterium. RNAcentral describes it as "uncultured Latescibacteria bacterium partial 16S ribosomal RNA". It matches the Rfam family "Bacterial small subunit ribosomal RNA", at positions 568 to 774 of the family's 1533-position model. Lineage: Bacteria; Pseudomonadati; Candidatus Latescibacterota. The record is from RNAcentral.